This 525-nucleotide ribosomal RNA is filed under the name Boulengerula fischeri. Its description in RNAcentral is "partial 16S ribosomal RNA". It matches the Rfam family "Bacterial large subunit ribosomal RNA", at positions 1826 to 2597 of the family's 2925-position model. Lineage: Eukaryota; Metazoa; Chordata; Amphibia; Gymnophiona; Herpelidae. The record is from RNAcentral.
CGCCUCCAGAAACACAUGCAUUGGAGGUACUGCCUGCCCAGUGAACAUUAUUUUAACGGCCGCGGUAUUCUGACCGUGCAAAGGUAGCAUAAUCACUUGUCCUCUAAAUAAGGACUAGUAUGAAUGGCAAGACGAAAAAUCAACUGUCUCCUUUAUUUCAUCAAUGAAAUUGAUCUCCUUGUACAAAAGCAAGGAUAAUAAUAUAAGACGAGAAGACCCUAUGGAGCUUAAAACACGCCAACAACUACAACAAAUAAAUUAAUUAUGUUUUAGCUGUUUUCGGUUGGGGCGACCACGGAGAACACCAAACCUCCGAAAAAAACAAAGAAUACACCUCUAUGUGAUAGAUAAUCUAAAACUUGACCCAAUAAACUUGAUCAACGGACCCAGUUACCCUAGGGAUAACAGCGCAAUUUUCUCAAAGAGUCCCUAUCGACGAGAAAGUUUACGACCUCGAUGUUGGAUCAGGAUAUCCAAACAGUGCAGCCGCUGUAAAAGGUUUGUUUGUUCAACAAAUAAAAUCCU